AGUGGGGGAUAACAUUCGGAAACGAAUGCUAAUACCGCAUAUCUUUUUGAACCGCAUGGUUCUUAAACGAAAGAACGGCUUCGGCUGUCGCUCUUAGAUGAUCCCGCGGCGUAUUAGUUAGUUGGUGGGGUAAAGGCCUACCAAGACCAUGAUACGUAGCCGACCUGAGAGGGUGAUCGGCCACACUGGGACUGAGACACGGCCCAGACUCCUACGGGAGGCAGCAGUAGGGAAUCUUCCACAAUGGGUGAAAACCUGAUGGAGCAAUGCCGCGUGAAUGAAGAAGGUCUUCGGAUCGUAAAGUUCUGUUAUUAGAGAAGAACGAGUCAAGGAGUAACUGUCUUGACUUUGACGGUACCUAACCAGAAAGUCACGGCUAACUACGUG
RNAcentral lists this ribosomal RNA (387 nucleotides) under uncultured bacterium. RNAcentral's name for it is "bacterial SSU rRNA". It matches the Rfam family "Bacterial small subunit ribosomal RNA", at positions 135 to 507 of the family's 1533-position model. The record is from RNAcentral.